RNAcentral lists this small nucleolar RNA (138 nucleotides) under Ornithorhynchus anatinus (platypus). Lineage: Eukaryota; Metazoa; Chordata; Mammalia; Monotremata; Ornithorhynchidae. The record is from RNAcentral.
UACCAUUAUUAUUACUAUCUGGAGAGUUUUCUGUACUCUAUCAGUCACUACUACAGAAGGGAGAGUCAAGCAGAGGCCUACCCAUUCCAUUCCUAGCUUGGUCAGUGGCUAGUGAGUGGAAGGCAAUCUGCUACAAGU